GAUCCUGGCUCAGGAUGAACGCUGGCGGCGUGCUUAACACAUGCAAGUCGAACGAAGCACUUAAGAAUGAUUCUUCGGAUGAAUUUUUAUGUGACUUAGUGGCGGACGGGUGAGUAACGCGUGGGUAACCUGCCUCACACAGGGGGAUAACAGUUGGAAACGACCGCUAAUACCGCAUAACCCGCUAGGGCCGCAUGGCCCGGACGGAAAAGAUUUAUCGGUGUGAGAUGGACCCGCGUUGGAUUAGCUAGUUGG
This 255-nucleotide ribosomal RNA is filed under the name uncultured bacterium. RNAcentral's name for it is "partial 16S ribosomal RNA". It matches the Rfam family "Bacterial small subunit ribosomal RNA", at positions 15 to 252 of the family's 1533-position model. The record is from RNAcentral.